UGCAAGUCGAGCGCAUCCUUCGGGAUGAGCGGCGGACGGGUGAGUAACGCGUGGGAAUGUGCCCUUCUCUACGGAAUAGCCACUGGAAACGGUGAGUAAUACCGUAUACGCCCUUAGGGGGAAAGAUUUAUCGGAGAAGGAUCAGCCCGCGUUAGAUUAGGUAGUUGGUGGGGUAACGGCCUACCAAGCCUACGAUCUAUAGCUGGUUUUAGAGGAUGAUCAGCCACACUGGGACUGAGACACGGCCCAGACUCCUACGGGAGGCAGCAGUAGGGAAUCUUGGACAAUGGGGGAAACCCUGAUCCAGCCAUGCCGCGUGAGUGAAGAAGGCCUUAGGGUCGUAAAGCUCUUUCGCCUGUGAUGAUAAUGACAGUAGCAGGUAAAGAAACCCCGGCUAACUCCGUGCCAGCAGCCGCGGUAAUACGGAGGGGGUUAGCGUUGUUCGGAUUUACUGGGCGUAAAGCGCGCGUAGGGCGGAUUGGAAAGUUGGGGGGUGAAAUCCCGGGGCUCAACCCCGGAA
Molecule: ribosomal RNA, 520 nt
Filed under: uncultured marine bacterium
Lineage: Bacteria
Description: bacterial SSU rRNA
Rfam family: Bacterial small subunit ribosomal RNA
Source: RNAcentral